AGGGUUUGAUCCUGGCUCAGAUUGAACGCUGGCUGCAUGCUUAACACAUGCAAGUCGAACGAGAAAGUGCCUUCGGGCGCGAGUAAAGUGGCGGACGGGUGAGUAAUGCAUAGGAAUCUGCCCAGUAGUAGGGGACAACUCGGGGAAACUCGAGCUAAUACCGUAUAUUUCCUAAGGGAGAAAGACUUCGGUCGCUAUUGGAUGAGCCUAUGUCAGAUUAGCUUGUUGGUAGGGUAAUGGCCUACCAAGGCGACGAUCUGUAGCUGGUCUGAGAGGAUGAUCAGCCACACUGGGACUGAGACACGGCCCAGACUCCUACGGGAGGCAGCAGUGGGGAAUAUUGGACAAUGGGCGAAAGCCUGAUCCAGCAAUGCAGCGUGUGUGAAGAAGGCCUGAGGGUUGUAAAGCACUUUCAGUAGGGAAGAUAAUGACGGUACCUACAGAAGAAGCACCGGCUAACUCCGUGCCAGCCGCCGCGGUAAUAC
This 485-nucleotide ribosomal RNA is filed under the name uncultured bacterium. RNAcentral's name for it is "bacterial SSU rRNA". It matches the Rfam family "Bacterial small subunit ribosomal RNA", at positions 8 to 526 of the family's 1533-position model. The record is from RNAcentral.